CGCAGAUGAAAGUAAAAUUUAGUAUUAAUAAACAGCAAUGCUACAUGUACAACCAUUUUUAUAUCAUGUACUUAUUUGCAAUACACAAUUGACAAGUAAGAAGAGAUAACUAUAAAUAGCAGUUUCCAUUACUAAAAUCCAAUUACUGCAAGCUUUGCAGAGCAAUAAAGAUAAAAGAAAUCUGUCUACAGCCAGCUCAUGACAUUCCUGAAAUCUAUCUGUACAUUGUAACAAAGCAAUAAACAGAUAGUUAAGUGCAAUCUACAAACCCCUAGAACCUGGAAUAUCAAUCCACUGCAACUGGAGUUCCACUUCGCCGCAUUCUACAUUUCGCAGUCUAAGAAACAUGUUCUGAACCACCUUGCCAUUAGCCCAGAUAAUGUGGCUUUCUUCAGCUAGGCAAUUUUGCCUGCUUGGUGGGAUUCUUGUUAUUAUGGUUCCACUGGGGAGGCUUUCUAGGCGCAUCUUUACAGCUUCCAGAAAUGGACGGAUAUCAAACUCUGCAUCUCCCAUUUUGUCAUCUCGGCUGAAUGUGUCCUUAUCAUAAACUCCCUGGAUUACCAUGGAAAGAGUAAUUCAUCACAUUGAACUCAGAAAACAGCAACUAUCUUAGUUAAGCAUUCACAAAAUUUGCCACCAUAACUAUGACAAUAGAGAUUUUGUUCUACAUAUUGAACAAGCUAGAGAAGUUGUCCUCUAAAGUAAAGGAGAAGCAUAAGGAAAUUUCUCACUGCAAAUUAUUCCAUUUAAAGCGGGCCAAAUUCCAAGUUCUUCAUCUAGAAUUUCUUGUUCUAGUUGAAUCCCCCAUUACUAACCAGCUUAACAAGUUUUUUGUAAUACUACUACAGUGUAUAGAUCUAAUCAUUUUAUAAUUGUUUUUAGUAUUUUUAGCAACAUGAUUCUACACAUGUUUCAGUCAAGACUUGCAUAAAAUGAUAAUAAGCUUGCAACAUCCACCAAACAAAGACAUGGAUUCUUUACAUGCUAAACAAUUGAAAAUCCACUUCAGACUUUCAGUUCUGGGAUCACAUAAUCACAAAUUCUUUUCCCAUUUUAAACACGGAAAAACAUGAUUAUCCUUGUUUUCCAGCUGCUAAAAGUCCAGUAAAUAAUGUCAAAAUUACUGUAAUACUCACAAUCUUGAUUGGAAGAUUGGGGUUAUCAAUGGAAAGAGUCAAGUCUUCAUUCCACUCAGGAUUGACAUUUUUCUUCACCACGCGAGUCUUCAGUUUCUGCAAAAGGCCACAAUUUUAUAGAGUUCAAUUGCAAUGAAUAACGCUGGAAGCCAAAUUAAGCUCAACUAAGCCUUAAUCACAAGCAAAUUAGGGACGGCUUCAGCCUAUUUAGGAAAAAAUCAUUGAAAAAUCAAACAAUUUUUAAUUUCUAGCUUAGACUUUCUGGUUUGAGAUAACCAAACAAAUAUAGCUAGAUGAGAUCUCUAUUAAUAUUAGUAUUGUAUUCUGAUACAGUAGUGUCUACAAAAUUUACUAACAUGAAUAAAUAAGGCAGAGAUACUUUUUCUGGGUAGAUUUUCAAGUUGGAUAAAGAUUUUGAAUUGAACAAUAGGGAUUGGAAACCUAAGAAAAUUUAAAACUUUGAAAAUAUUAUUAUGACAAAACAUGGAGAAGGAUAAGUGCUUUUUCAUUUUCCAUUAAAAACCAGCUUUCUGAGAAGGGUUAAUCUCCACAAUCUAUUAAUGAGGCUAACAAUAACAAUCCACUUUACUGCUUUCCAUGUAGUUGGAGCGAAAUCGGUUUUAAGGGAAAAACAGAAGUAAAAAAAACCAAAAUCAGGUAAUAAGGAGAUUACAAACAUUUGAAUCCAUUGAUUCCAGUACUGUAGCGAAAUGGUAGUGGAAGAUAAUUAAUUGUCAUAAUUCAAGAAACCCAUUAACGUACCAACACACCACUAUUCAGAGCAGUAUAAAACCUUUGGACCGUGACAACUAAGCAUGUG
This 1956-nucleotide unclassified non-coding RNA is filed under the name Hevea brasiliensis (rubber tree). Lineage: Eukaryota; Viridiplantae; Streptophyta; Magnoliopsida; Malpighiales; Euphorbiaceae. The record is from RNAcentral.